RNAcentral lists this ribosomal RNA (322 nucleotides) under uncultured bacterium. Its description in RNAcentral is "bacterial SSU rRNA". It matches the Rfam family "Bacterial small subunit ribosomal RNA", at positions 83 to 422 of the family's 1533-position model. The record is from RNAcentral.
AGCAAUACGUCAGCGGCAGACGGGUGAGUAACGCGUGGGAACGUACCUUUUGGUUCGGAACAACACAGGGAAACUUGUGCUAAUACCGGAUAAGCCCUUACGGGGAAAGAUUUAUCGCCGAAAGAUCGGCCCGCGUCUGAUUAGCUAGUUGGUGGGGUAACGGCUCACCAAGGCGACGAUCAGUAGCUGGUCUGAGAGGAUGAUCAGCCACAUUGGGACUGAGACACGGCCCAAACUCCUACGGGAGGCAGCAGUGGGGAAUUUUGGACAAUGGACGAAAGUCUGAUCCAGCCAUGCCGCGUGCGGGAAGAAGGCCUUCGGG